Non-coding RNA from Pseudonaja textilis, 492 nucleotides. The record is from RefSeq and is a predicted model, not a curated record. NCBI's taxonomy places the organism in Eukaryota, Metazoa, Chordata, Lepidosauria, Squamata, Elapidae.
AAUCAAUAAUACAAAUGCCUGCAAAGUUUGAGUCAGGUAGAUUGUCAGCAGACUCAACAAAUAACAAUUUUAAUACUGUUAUUCCAUAGCACUUUUGUUUGUGGUUCUCUGUGCCUACGAAUACAUACACAAGACAUUCACUGUGACAGUGAAGGGAAUGCACAAUCACAAGUAUGUGGAGACAGCUUGGACUGACAUUCAAACCAGCUAUUAUGUCCUGCUUUACCAAUCUUACCAGAAAUGCUUCUUCUUUCAUAUACCAGAAAUGCCUCUUUCAAAUGUUUUGCAGAAUCCUAGUAAACAGUCAACAAGAAUAGGAGUACAAGUCCCAAUACAAUUAUAAAGUUGUAUCUAAUACCAUGAUAUAUUGAAAAAUAUACUAUUUUAGCAAGGCAUUUAGUAAAUAAGUACUUUCUGUCCUGGAUCUUGUUUAGCUUUAUUAUUAUUAUUAUUAUUAUUAUUAUUAUUAUUAUUAUUAUUAUUACUCUUAUG